GGGAGGUCUGGGCGGCUUUGCUUGAGCUGCUGCCCCCGUGACCUGACACCGGAUAAGCGGAAGAAAAUGGAUGGAUGGAUGGAUGGAUCUUUCUAUUGGUCACAUGACCUACAACCUGCAAAGGUGAAACUCAACGUCAAUUUUGGAGAUGUCAAAACCACACAGGACCAUAUGUUAUGGUAUCAGUGAAUCACAAGAAUUAAUUUGCAUGAAUCAAAGUAACAUUGUUUAAUUGACAACUUUGACUGAUUACUCUCUCCAUCUUUUCCUCACAUUUAUUUAUGUUGCAUUUUCUGUCUUGCUAAUGGACACUUCAGAAGGGGAAUGAACCCACCAGCCUGGGGUUGGGGUUAUGGUGUGAUAGUUAAAAUGACGAAAAUAUCUGUCGGUGCCUUCACCUGUAUAAUGUUAAACUGGUGGCCUAAGUUUGGUGAUGUAAUAAAACUAAAAUAUUGAGACUAAAUCUGACCUGCUUUACUAUCUGCACAUUUUUUUUACAAGUUUGCCAUCUAGUGGCUUACUUCCUAUUCUGCAUCUUUUGUGAAAUGUGGCAAAAUACAAAAUGUUAUGCUGAACAUUAUUCAGUUGUACACAUCACACAGGAGCCCUUGCCAGUUAAGAUUAUAUUCUACACCUAAACAAAACAACACUGUGUUAUAGAAUUGUGCAUAAAUUAGAAAUUUAACAUGACCCCGUGAGGACCAGCAAUGUGACCCACAUGCAUCCUGGGUAGAUCAUAAAAUAAAUCACCUUGAUUUAAAAAUCUGAAUUGAAAGGCUGAUACCAGUGAAUAUGUGUUAUGUGAAUUAUGUAUGAUGGUUUCUUAUUUGUUAUGAGACCUUUCAAGUUGCUAUGUAUCAUAUUGAAAUCUUAAUUUGUAUUUGAUGUUUUUGAGUUUUAUUGUUGAAAUGUUGUAACCUUUGAUGUGUGCUUUUAUGUACAUUUUUUGUACACUUUUAUCACAUAAAUAAAAUGAAUUAUGAAUUU
Molecule: long non-coding RNA, 987 nt
Organism: Thalassophryne amazonica
Lineage: Eukaryota; Metazoa; Chordata; Actinopteri; Batrachoidiformes; Batrachoididae
Exons: 2
Source: RefSeq, a predicted model, not a curated record